Molecule: RNA transcript, 3399 nt
Organism: Hylaeus volcanicus
Lineage: Eukaryota; Metazoa; Arthropoda; Insecta; Hymenoptera; Colletidae
Gene: RtGEF
Gene name: rho guanine nucleotide exchange factor 7
Exons: 9
Source: RefSeq, a predicted model, not a curated record
AAUAUAAUAGUACGCAUGCAAUGCAAGUAUGAAAGUGUGCUUGCGUAGGUACUAUUUGCCUUGCAUACACGUAUAGGGUAUUAAUAGUUGCUUGCUAAGAUGUCACAGACAUCUGUAUAUAAGAGUAACCUCUACGUUCCUCGUACAACAGAUGUAUCCAGCACAUCCUCGGUUAAUUUCGGAUUUUCCGAUUCGACCUGCUAAAUACUCGUUACACUCGGUCAAGUACGAUCAGCUACAAUCAGCAACGAAUAUUGUGCUGCACGGCGUAGCAAGGUUAAACGUAUGAUUCGUAUCCACACUGUUAUUAAACGUUAAAGGAUAAUAUCGUGAAGCAUAUUUUUGUAUUAGUCGAAAGAAUGUUUCGCAAAGUGUCUCCGAUCCGUUCGACGUCGUGUCGUCUCGAUUUUUAAAGUUCAACUAUCUAAGGAAACGAUAAGGGACAAGUGUUUCGUAGUGUUGUUGACGUAUGUCUUUCCACAGUGCUUUCACGUUCUGACAGACACAUCGAAGUCAUUCUCGAUUUUGUCUAUUUAAGGCACUAAUCAUGUCCAAGCCAGAUGGACCUAAAUUUGUAACUGCACUGUUUUCCUUUAAAGGAAAAAACAAUGACGAACUUUGCUUUAAAAAAGGAGACGUGAUAACUAUAACACAGAUGGACGAAGAGGGUUGGUGGGAGGGUACGUUGAAUGAGAAAACAGGCUGGUUUCCAUCUAAUUAUGUGAAAGAAUGCAGGCCUCCAGAUGGUGGACUUUCAACAGUCAAGACAUCUCCAGAGAAAACUGUACAAGAAUCACCCACACAAAAUAAACUCAACCGUGAUAUCGUGUUAAAAGAUAUAGUUGAUUCCGAAAGAGUGAAUGUAGCAGAAUUGCAGGGCUUGAUAAAUAAUUUUUUACAUCCGUUAGAAGCAGCCAAUGUAUUAAACAAGGAAGAGUACAAGCAACUCCUAGGCAAUGUGCAUGAAGUUUUAGAAGUGCAUCAACGGUUGCUUACUAGCUUAGAAGCAGCCAUGACGCAAGGUUGCUCUUCUAGAGUAGGAAACCUUUUCUUAACACUUGCACCAAGAUUGAAAUCCAUUCAUACAACGUAUUGCGGAAAUCAUCCGCGAGCAGUGUGCAUUCUAGACCGCUACAGAGAUGAAUUAAAUGAAUUUAUGGAGGAUAGUGGAGCUAUAUCACCUGGUAUAUUAGUACUGACGACUGGACUUAGUAAACCCUUUCGAAGAUUAGAUAAAUACUCAGCCAUGCUUCAGGAGUUAGAAAGAUAUAUGGAAAAGAAUCAUCCUGACAGAGGAGACACUCAGCGCAGUAUAGUAGUAUACAGAGAAAUAGCGGAUCGAUGUGCAUCCAUACGAAAGCAACGCGAGUUAGCACUUCAAGUAUUAACUAGUGGUAUUAAAGGAUGGGAAGGAGAGGAGUUAAGCUCGCUCGGAGAAAUUCUUUACGUCGGAUCUGUCACAUUAGCAACAGGGGCCACUGGACUAGAUCGUCGAGAUAGAUACUUCGUUCUUUUUUCCACAACUUUGUUGGUGCUCAGUGCCAGCCCAAGGAUGAGUUCUUUCGUCUACGAAGUAUAUUCGAAACCACAUAUCUAUCUUACCGCCAGUUUUAAUACGAAGAUGCGCGAUCGAACAAUUUUAAAUCACGCAUUCCUUUUUCUUUUACAGGGCAAACUUCCGUUGACUGGCAUUAAUAUUAUUCAAACGGAAGAUACCGACGAAAUUAGAAACGCUUUUGAAAUCACAGGGCCGAUGAUCGAGAGCAUACUCGUGCUCUGCGCCACUAAAGAGGAUCAGCAGCGUUGGAUCGAACUUUUGAUUCAGGAACAAACGACAAGCAGCAGUCUAGUGAAAUCGUCGACCACGUCACGCGUGAGUUGUAAUCUACCUCCGUACGCUCGCCUCUCGAGGUAUUUUGCCAAGCUGGUCAGGAGAAAGAUUAUACGUCCCGAACUACUGAAGAAAUUACUGUAUUUGCAAUAUGUUUUGAAGCCAGAUUUAAGUAACGUAAAAAUGCGAAAGCCUAACGUAACGACUUAUACGAUUUAUCCCAUGCGAGAUAGUAGCCGAUGUGGGUCCAACGAUUCCGAAACGAGUUUCGGGACGAAUAAAAUCGUGGGGGAGCAACGAUACGACAAUACCUCCAAGUUGCGUAAAUCUACGUUGACUCUUGAUGUAAAGUAUGCCUUGGGCGAUCUCGAUCUUAGCACAGUGGGGAUAAGGAACGGUUCAGAGUUCGUAUCCGAACACAGCAGUACGCGCGAUACCAGCAAAAGUUUACCCGUCGCCGUGUUUACGUCUACCGUUACUCUGCCCGGUAUUACCGUCGCUGAUAACGCGAACGAAACCGAACUUCCGGUUUCGUUUCCCAUCGCGCGUCAUUUCUAUCGUGAUCGACACUGUAAUACAAAGAACCAACACGUGGACCCUGCAGGCGCGAUGAACUGUUGGAAAAGCAUCGGAUGUAAUCGAGAGCAACCGAUCAUCGUUGCUUCCGACGUACAACGUCCGACGAUCGAGUUAGAUUCUCGCGUGGACGCUAGCGUACAUUCAUCGGAUUCGGGAAUGGCCGAGAGUUAUCGAUUUAACUCCUUCGAAAUCAAUUCGUCGUGUAAAUCGUACACUUGCAUCGGUAACAAGUACGAUAUCAGAAUACCUGAGAGAACUUCAUUAGGCGAAAGUGAAAAUGAUGAGAACAACUUCGAGCACCAAUGCAUUUGUACCUCGCCGUUCGAUUCCACUCCCAGGGAUAGCGCGCAUCUGUCCGAUUUAUCGAAAAGUAUCGAAGACGUUUUAAGUCCUUCGAUUCGCGACGCAACCGACGCAACUCAGAAUUUUGAUCACCCUUUGCACGACGUCGACAAAACGGAAGUAGAGGGCAUCGCGGACGAGUUCGAACGCUCGACACAGAGAAGGUUCACUCAACCGAUACCGUACGCUCAUCAAACCAUCAUACGAAAAAUUGGAAGAAAACCGAUUCAACCGGAUCGUCCUAUCGUCAAAGACGAUUACGACGGAACGAGUCAAGUCUAUACGUCGGGGCUGUACGCUCAUUGGUGGUUGAAGAAAUCUAUACCGUUUUCUGGAUGCACAGAUCAAGAUCUGCAGUCAACAGAACGGGAAACAACAACAACCACAACAACAGCAACGAUCGAUUGCGGAACACUGUCCAUCUUUAGGGAUUAGAACGUCAUGGUGUAUCGCUUCGUUACGUCCAGCUCCUCCUCUGUACACUUUCAGGGCAUUUGGUAAAACUGAUAACAGUUUGGAUUUAUCACGUGCACCACGACCUUCUAACGAACGACAAUUCGAAGAAGAUGCGAUUAUAUUGAAGGUGAUCGAGGCAUAUUGUCUUUCCGUCAAUGCUAGGUUUACCGUGCACUCUGGCGAAUCGACUU